RNAcentral lists this ribosomal RNA (492 nucleotides) under uncultured bacterium. RNAcentral's name for it is "partial 16S ribosomal RNA". It matches the Rfam family "Bacterial small subunit ribosomal RNA", at positions 29 to 507 of the family's 1533-position model. The record is from RNAcentral.
AGUGAACGCUGGCGGUAUGCCUAACACAUGCAAGUCGAACGGCAGCAUAGUAACAGCUUGCUCUUACGUGUGGCGAGUGGCGGACGGGUGAGGUAUAUCUGGAAAUCCACUUUUUCGUGGGUGAUAAUGUCGGGAAAUGUACGCUAACCCCACAUACGACCUACGGGUGAAAGCCGGCGAUCUUCGGACUUUGCGCGAUUGAAUGAGCCGAUGUCGGAUUAGCUAGUUGGCGGGGUAAAGGCCCACCAAGGCGACGCUCCGUAGAUGGUCUGAGAGGAUGACAAGCCACACUGGGACUGAGACACGGUCCAGACUCCUUCGGGAGGAAGCAGUGGGGAAUAUUGGACAAGGGGCGGAAGCCUGAUACAGCCAUACCGCGUGGGUGAAGAAGGCCUUCGGGUUGGAAAGCGAUUUUGGUGGGAAAGAAAAGAAGCACUUUAAUACCGGGCGGUUAUGACGGUACCCGAAGAAUAAGCACCGGCUAACUUCGUG